UGCUGGCUGGGGUUAAACCACAACAGUCCAUUUUGGCGCCCAACGUGGGGACCGAAGGGUUGAGAUAACGACAAACCUGACCAGAGCUUGUUAAAACAAAUUUAUUAGAAGCAUUCAUUAUGUUGAUUUAUGUAUAAGA
Aquila chrysaetos chrysaetos is the source of this 139-nucleotide long non-coding RNA. RefSeq lists it as uncharacterized. Lineage: Eukaryota; Metazoa; Chordata; Aves; Accipitriformes; Accipitridae. The transcript has 3 exons. The record is from RefSeq and is a predicted model, not a curated record.